RNAcentral lists this ribosomal RNA (372 nucleotides) under Triticum aestivum (bread wheat). RNAcentral's name for it is "partial small subunit ribosomal RNA". Lineage: Eukaryota; Viridiplantae; Streptophyta; Magnoliopsida; Poales; Poaceae. The record is from RNAcentral.
AUGUGUACAACUACCGUUGCCGUGAUUUCGACAAGACAUCAUGUACCUCUACUUCCACUACGACACGAGUACAACUACUUCCCACGACGACUCGUGAACGCCUACUUCCUCUACACCGCUCCAAACUCGAACCGCUUCAAAAAUGCACGCUUCAAAGCUUCGGGUUCGUUCUGGAGUUGUGAGGAUUCGUUCGACUACGUUCGUUUGUCUUCUUCAUGGACUCGUUCUUCUUCCUUGCGGGAUUUCAGGCAAGAUGACCAUUACCCUCGAUAUCACUUCUAUCUUUGCUUGCUAGUUGCUCCGAUCUAUCGCUAUGUUGCGCUACCUAUCACUUGUUUACCAUGCCUUCCAAAUUGCCAUGUCAGCCUCUAA